RNAcentral lists this transfer RNA (73 nucleotides) under Candidatus Aenigmatarchaeota archaeon. RNAcentral describes it as "tRNA-Asn". It matches the Rfam family "tRNA". Rfam says of the family: Transfer RNA (tRNA) molecules are approximately 80 nucleotides in length. Their secondary structure includes four short double-helical elements and three loops (D, anti-codon, and T loops). Further hydrogen bonds mediate the characteristic L-shaped molecular structure. tRNAs have two regions of fundamental functional importance: the anti-codon, which is responsible for specific mRNA codon recognition, and the 3' end, to which the tRNAs corresponding amino acid is attached (by aminoacyl-tRNA synthetases). tRNAs cope with the degeneracy of the genetic code in two manners: having more than one tRNA (with a specific anti-codon) for a particular amino acid; and 'wobble' base-pairing, i.e. permitting non-standard base-pairing at the 3rd anti-codon position. The record is from RNAcentral. Lineage: Archaea; Nanobdellati; Candidatus Aenigmatarchaeota.
GCCUCGGUAGCUCAGCAGGUAGAGCAUUUGGCUGUUAACCAAAGGGUCGACGGUUCGAGUCCGUCCCGAGGCG